AGAUACCUAUGGAAAGCCCACAAUCAGGAUAUGAAUGCAGUAGUGCCGUCCCGCUUGAGUUCCUCAGCGACUGGAUAUCGCCUCUGAUCUGGAGGCAAUAUAUAGAAAUCAUGACUAGUACCCGUUGUUAGCCUUAUCCUCCAUGAAUUUAUCUAAUCCCUUUUAAAGCCGUUCCGGUUGGCGACUGUCACUACAUUACCUUUAAGUAAGUUCCACACUUUUCCUUUUCUCUCUACGUACAGUACCGCUGUCUUUGAGAUGGCCGGGGAGGCGGGUCAGACUAGCGUCACUCAUUCUAAAUAAGCACAGUAACGGGAAGCAUGAACUCAACCCUUCCUCUGACCCCCUGUGCUUAAACUCUCCAAUGUCACUCCCUCGCCGAUCAGAUUUAUAGAGGACAGAGACUUUUUCAGUCAUUGUGGCGGAUGUUUUCACAUUUGGAUACUUCUGGAAUAUGUGGGCACUAGCACUUAAUUGUUUUCUGCUCUGGAACACCGUGCUUCUUCAUUUUUGUCUGAACCUACUUCCUGAGGUGUUUUGCUGAAGUUCUAAGCCACGUCCUUACACAGUCUUCCUCACAGUUGGCAAAAACGUUCUGCAGUUUCCGGAGUUAAUUGACAAAAUGGCCACCCUUUAACACUUCCUGAAAGUUCUCAACACAACUUCUCCCUAUCAAAGCCCCGAGUUACACUAACCUUUAGACUCCACCGUUGAGGACCUAAAACCAGAUCAUUUUUUUCCUCUUUAAAAUACCCUUGAGUUGGCUCCAGUUUUUAUCAGAACAGGGGUGCUAGGAUGGGAAUAUGUAACUCGUUCCUCCUCAUCCUGUGUUUCCUGAUCAAAAUUGCAUCCAAAGCUGAUAUUGAGCCCCCCUGGGGAAGUGAUGGUACUUGCCUCACGCCUCCCUUUAGCAUCACAUCUGUUUUGGCCCUAUAACUCCAAGGAAAUCGAGAGAAGCCAUCACUUGAGAAUGCUGUUGUUUUUUAAAGUCUUUUUUUAGCUUUGUGAGCAACCACGACAUCCUAUCUUGAAGAGGCAGGAAUGAGAUCUUGGUAUUGUUAUACAGAUGCUGCAUUAGAAAUUGGGGUUAAGGUGUUUGAAGAUGGCGUACACAGCUUGUGUUUCUCCGCUGCGUUGAUCUCACCCUCUUCAUAUUUAAAAAAAGAUGGAAGAGAAAAAGCAUUUGUCGAUACCACUACAUUUCUAUGGGACCUGAUGAUUUAGAAUGCAAAAUAUGGAGGGGUGGUUGAUGAAGGGGGAAUGAGCUACCUCUAGGCACAUGACCAAGUCCACAAAUGUAUUAUCUAAAGCAUUCCUUCCCUGCCUCUCUCUUCUCUCUUAAAAUGCUUUUAGGGGGCAUAAAAGGAAAAAUUGACAAGCAGACAAAUAUGUACGCUUCGUAUGUUUCUUUUCUCCAGGCUACGGUGCAAACUUGUUACCAGUGUGAGAUUAAGAACAAAAUAAACCACAAUUCUAUUUUUUAACGCUGA
Long non-coding RNA from Elgaria multicarinata webbii, 1490 nucleotides. RefSeq lists it as uncharacterized. The transcript is spliced from 2 exons. NCBI's taxonomy places the organism in Eukaryota, Metazoa, Chordata, Lepidosauria, Squamata, Anguidae. The record is from RefSeq and is a predicted model, not a curated record.